GAAACGACGUGCUAAUACCCCAUAUGCCUCUAAUACAAAAGUAUGCNAGGGAAAGGAUUUUUCGCUAAGGGAUUGGGCUAUAUCGUAUCANCUANUUGGUGAGGUAAAGGCUCACCAAGGCUAUGACGCGUAGCUGGUCUGANAGGAUGAUCANCCACACUGGAACUGANACACGGUCCAGACUCCUACGGGANGCANCAGUGAGGAAUAUUGCACAAUGGGGGAAACCCUGNUGCANCAACGCCGCGUGGAGGAUGACGCAUUUCGGUGUGUAAACUCNUUUUAUAACGGAAGAUGAUGACGGUACCUAAUGAAUAAGCACCGGCUAACUCCGUGCCAGCAGCCGCGGUAAUACGGAGGGUGCAAGCGUUACUCGGAAUCACUGGGCGUAAAGCGCGCGCAGGCGGAUUGGAAAGUCAGAAGUGAAAGCCUACAGCUCAACUGUAGAACUGCUUCUGAAACUCUCAAUCUAGAAUCUGGAAGAGGUAAGUGGAAUUAGUGGUGUAGGGGUAAAAUCCGCAGAGAUCACUAGGAAUACCAAAAGCGAAGGCAACUUACUGGGACAGUAUUGACGCUGAGGCGCG
Molecule: ribosomal RNA, 584 nt
Filed under: uncultured bacterium
Lineage: Bacteria
Description: bacterial SSU rRNA
Rfam family: Bacterial small subunit ribosomal RNA
Source: RNAcentral